AUCUCCUAGUAUAUAUAUAUAUAUAUAAAACAAUGUGUGUUUACAUUUUUGUUUGAUUUCAAUAGCUAGUACUAAAUACCUUAGAUAAUACUAAUCCACUAACCGUUAGAGGAGCAGCCCACCGUUGUAUAAUUGAUAAUAUUGCGUUAU
Colias croceus (clouded yellow) is the source of this 150-nucleotide long non-coding RNA. RefSeq lists it as uncharacterized. Lineage: Eukaryota; Metazoa; Arthropoda; Insecta; Lepidoptera; Pieridae. The record is from RefSeq and is a predicted model, not a curated record. The transcript has 3 exons.